Molecule: ribosomal RNA, 246 nt
Filed under: uncultured bacterium
Lineage: Bacteria
Description: partial small subunit ribosomal RNA
Rfam family: Bacterial small subunit ribosomal RNA
Source: RNAcentral
AGAAUCAACGCUGGCGGCGUGCCUAACACAUGCAAGUCGCACGAGAAAGGGACUUCGGUCCUGAGUACAGUGGCGCACGGGUGAGCAACACGUGAAUAAUCUACCUCCGAGUGGGGAAUAACUGAGAGAAAUCUUAGCUAAUACCGCAUAACACUUACGAGUCAAAGCAGCAAUGCGCUUGGAGAGGAGUUCGCGGCAGGAUUAGUUAGUUGGCGGGGUAAUGGCCCACCAAGACGAUGAUCUGUA